This is a non-coding RNA of Delphinapterus leucas (beluga whale), 2050 nucleotides long. Lineage: Eukaryota; Metazoa; Chordata; Mammalia; Artiodactyla; Monodontidae. The record is from RefSeq and is a predicted model, not a curated record.
CCCACUGAAUUGUAUGCUUUAAAAGGGUGAUUUUUAUGGUAUGUGAAUUGUAUCACAAUUUUUCAAAACACAGAAAAAAUAGUGAUAAUGCUAAAUGCUAGCAAGGAUACAGAGAAACUGACUUUCUCAUACAUUGCUGGUGGGAAUGUAAAAUGGUAUAGGUACUCUGGAAAAGCAUUUGGCAAUGUUUUACAAAACAAAAUAUGCACUUACCAUAUAAUCCAGCAGUCACACUCUUUUAUCCCAGAGAAAUGAAAACUUAUAGUCAUACAAAAAUCUAUAUGUGGAUGUUCAUAGCAGCUUUAUUCAUAAUAUAACAAAAUACUACAAACCACCCAAAUGUUCUUCAACGGAUGAAUGGUUGAACAAACUUACAUCCAUACAAUGUAAUACUACUUGGUAAUAAAAAGAAAUGAACUGUUGAUACAGGCAGCCACCUGUAUAGACCUCAAGGGCAUUAUGCUCAGUGAAAAAUGGUACUGCUAAAAAGUUACAUACAGUGUGAUUCCAUUUAUAAGGCAUUCUCAAAACGAUAAGAUGAGAUGGAGACAUUAGUGGUUGCUAGGGGACAGGGAUGAGAAUGGUGGGGUGGGGGAAGGUGAGAGGUGGGUGCAAAUACCAAGAGUUUGUUCAUGGAAUCACUCUGUAUCUUGAUUGUGGUGGUGGUAGCAUGAAUCUAUAUAUGAAAUAAAAUUGCAUAGAACUAUAGACACACACAUACCAACAGUGCCUGAAAUUUUUUUAAAUGGUGAAAAAUCAAAUAAGUAUAGUUAACAGCAAGUUACCAACAUCAAUUUCCUGGUGUUGAUGUUGUGCAGUUAUGUAAGAUGUCACCAAAGGGGGGAGGGUACAUGGGACUCUGUGCUAUCUGUGCAACUUCCUGUGAGUCUGUAAUUAUUUCAAAACAAAAAGCUAAAAGAAAAACACAAUUACAAGGUCAUCCCCAGGAAUAAAUACUAAAUUUGAGUGUGCAAAGUCCAGAUAAACACACACAUAUAUGAAAUUCUUUUACGAGGAAUUUUUUUAAUGUGCUAUUUCAGAUCAGAGAGGGAAAUAUAUACCUCAGCAAGUGGUAUUAGAAUAACUGACUAGUCUAUGGUAAAAUAAUAUGAAAUUAAACUGUGUUGUUUUUUAUUUCCUUCACCAAAAUAAACUGUAGAAUAUAAAUUCCAAAGUAGGUACUCAAUAAAUGUUGAGUCACUGGAUCAGUGGGCAUAGAGUUUAUUUGUUGUUGAGGAAUUGUAGCUAAUACAGAAAGCAGAAGACAAUAGGUGUUGACCACUCUGACAUUCUCUUUUCUGGGAGCUUCCAUGUCUAGGGACAGCCAUCUCCCCAGAGGCCUCCUGAAAAGCUCCAGGGCAGAAACAACACAUCCCCUUGUGUAUGUAGGAUAACCAGGAGAGAGAGGUUGCUUUGCGGGGAAUCUUGGAGUGUUCUUAGAGACAGGCUAUUCUACUCAUAGAGAUGUACUGAGGAUUCACUGAGAUCAUGCAUAUAAAGGGCUUAAUACACUGCCUGGCACAUAGUAAAUACUCCGUGAUUGCUAGCUCCUGGAGAGCCUUGUCUGCAAGGCAAAGGAGUUUCAACAAGAAAGAGUUUGAAAGAGCACUAUUAGCAUGAACAAAUAAAUAAGCGGGCAAACUUUUAUGGAAAAACAAAACUCUACUUGAGAAUGUUGAAGACAAUGUCAUGGGACUAGGUCUUGAAGGUGAAGUCUUUCUAAUCCGAAGGCAUAGCAAGAGCAAAAAUGUGGGAGCUGUGAGAGGGCUGUGGGUAUAUUCAGGGAAUGACAUCACAUUUAGCCUUUCAUUCCCGCUAGCCCACUGCUGUCCAGGUCCAUCUCAAACCAGAUUUGCUGACGUAGCCUUCCAAGUUGUGUCUCUGCCCGGAGUUUUUCAUCUCUCCAGUUCUUUCAAGAUAUGGGAGGACUGGGACACCCGUCAGAGCUCAGGAUUACACAUCACUCCAGCAGAAUCCUAAGCUAGAAAAGAAGGCUUAGGGGACAUGGGUUUGAGCCCUAGUCCGGGAAGAUCCCACAUCCCGCGGAGCA